GACGAACGCUGGCGGCGGGCUUAACACAUGCAAGUCGAACGGAAAGGCCCUGCUUUGGUGGGGUGCUCGAGUGGCGAACGGGUGAGUAACACGUGAGUAACCUGCCCUUGACUUUGGGAUAACUUCAGGAAACUGGGGCUAAUACCGGAUAGGAGCUCCUGCUGCAUGGUGGGGGUUGGAAAGUUUCGGCGGUUGGGGAUGGACUCGCGGCUUAUCAGCUUGUUGGUGGGGUAGUGGCUUACCAAGGCUUUGACGGGUAGCCGGCCUGAGAGGGUGACCGGCCACAUUGGGACUGAGAUACGGCCCAGACUCCUACGGGAGGCAGCAGUGGGGAAUAUUGCACAAUGGGCGGAAGCCUGAUGCAGCAACGCCGCGUGCGGGAUGACGGCCUUCGGGUUGUAAACCGCUUUCGCCUGUGACGAAGCGUGAGUGACGGUAAUGGGUAAAGAAGCACCGGCUAACUACGUG
Molecule: ribosomal RNA, 468 nt
Filed under: uncultured bacterium
Lineage: Bacteria
Description: partial 16S ribosomal RNA
Rfam family: Bacterial small subunit ribosomal RNA
Source: RNAcentral